GCUUAUCCAUUCCACUAUAGACAUUUGGGUUGCUACUAUAUUUUGGUUAUUAUGAAUAAUGCAGCUAUAAACAUGAAUGCAUGUAUAUCUCUUCCAGACCCUGUUUUGAAUAUAUCUCCAGAAGUAGAAUUGCUGAAUCACAAGAAACUAUAUUGAAGUAAAGUUGAACUAAGAUUAUGUGAUGUUCUCUGUGGGCACAGCCUCCAUUUUUACCUCGGUCUAGUGUUGGAUGAUGUUCCUGCUGUACUAUGCAAACUGGUCACAGGCCUCUCUUCACUUGUUCAGUAGACACGUUUAGGAGCCAGACACCAAGGAUUGGCUGAAGACACAGAGCUAACUAUGAAGAGGAGCUUGGAGCUCGUGUCCUGCUGUAGGGAGGAACUGGCACAUGGACGAAGUGAUAACACAGAGGGAACCCGUCUUACCACAUACGGGUACAAGGAAGACACCAGAAGGAAGACACCACAUGUGAGCAUGGGAGGCAGAGGUCUGAGAAAGUUCACAGAUAAACUUCUAUUUGAAUUCAGUCCUUAGGAGGCCUGGGAUUCCCAGCCAGCCUGUCCUUCUAACGGAAUUUGGUCAGAGAAAGCAGCACGUGGAGAGUCCAGCUGGGGAGGACAGACUACAGCGUGUCUUUGAACCACUUGUGGCUGGAUGCGGCUCCCACUCAGGUGGCAAUGCAGGGAAAGAGAUCAGGGCUAAUUUUGUAUGCUACGCCAAACAGUGUAGUUUUUAUUGGUAGGCAAUGGAUAUCAAUGACACUCACAAUUAUCACCACUGGAUGUGAUAUAUAGACCCUACUUUUCUCCUUCCCAGUGGUUGCCAGCAUUGACAUCCUGUGGAUUACUAUGAAUUAGAGGCUUUGGCUGUCCGAACGAUGCUCUAGGGUGACUGGGGUGGCCGGAAUGGGACAGCCAAGUUGUGGGGUUUUCUGAUAGCCUUUGGAGGCAGCCCGGAUCCAACUGCAUUUGCAUAGAUCACAUUGUUCCAGCUGAUAAAUGCACAAACACCCAUAGUAGGCCUCUCUAGCCGCUUCUCCAAGGAAGGCCCACAAAAGCUCUCUAAUGAGUUUGAAGUGAUCCCUCAACACCCCCUUUCUGUCUCUAUUCUGUGUUAAAUGAGGAGGGAAAAGGCACUGCGGCAUUUUUCCAGAUAUACAGACUUCCGCAAUGAGUCUGCAAUGAAUGGCCUAAUAUGGAUCCAGUGUUUCAUAUUGUGUUAAAUUCGUUUGUGUAAAUCCUAUUGUGUAUAUCAGUUUGAUACAAAAAACAUGUAUUGGCUCUUAAUACUUACAUGACAUGUGCUAAGAAUGUCUGUGAGUUCCAGAAUCUUCCACAAACACACGCCAUAGCACAAGAAGACAAAAUGCAUGAGUUAUAAAAGAGUAUUUUCUCCUGCAUUAUAUACGACUGAAAGAAAGAUAAGAGGCAUAUGUAUAUCUGAUUAAUUGAUGGCAGGGUAGGAAGAAAAGCAGGAACAAAUUUAUGAUGACAUUUGAAGGGGGGUGGUUCCUAAUAGUGGAAACAGCAAGAGGGAAGCCCUCCAAAUAAAUAAAGUUAUAAACGUUAACCUCAAUUUUGAAAGAAAUGAGCACAUU
Molecule: non-coding RNA, 1597 nt
Organism: Macaca mulatta (Rhesus monkey)
Lineage: Eukaryota; Metazoa; Chordata; Mammalia; Primates; Cercopithecidae
Source: RefSeq, a predicted model, not a curated record